This 2288-nucleotide ribosomal RNA is filed under the name Escherichia coli. RNAcentral describes it as "partial 23S ribosomal RNA". It matches the Rfam family "Bacterial large subunit ribosomal RNA", at positions 633 to 2925 of the family's 2925-position model. Lineage: Bacteria; Pseudomonadati; Pseudomonadota; Gammaproteobacteria; Enterobacterales; Enterobacteriaceae. The record is from RNAcentral.
AUCCCAUGCAAGGUUAAGCUGAUAAGGCGGAGCCGUAGCGAAAGCGAGUCUGAAUAGGGCGUUUAGUAUGUGGUUGUAGACCCGAAACCAGGUGAUCUACCCUUGGUCAGGUUGAAGUUCAGGUAACACUGAAUGGAGGACCGAACCGACUUACGUUGAAAAGUGAGCGGAUGAACUGAGGGUAGCGGAGAAAUUCCAAUCGAACCUGGAGAUAGCUGGUUCUCUCCGAAAUAGCUUUAGGGCUAGCCUCAAGUGAUGAUUAUUGGAGGUAGAGCACUGUUUGGACGAGGGGCCCCUCUCGGGUUACCGAAUUCAGACAAACUCCGAAUGCCAAUUAAUUUAACUUGGGAGUCAGAACAUGGGUGAUAAGGUCCGUGUUCGAAAGGGAAACAGCCCAGACCACCAGCUAAGGUCCCAAAAUAUAUGUUAAGUGGAAAAGGAUGUGGCGUUGCCCAGACAACUAGGAUGUUGGCUUAGAAGCAGCCAUCAUUUAAAGAGUGCGUAAUAGCUCACUAGUCGAGUGACACUGCGCCGAAAAUGUACCGGGGCUAAACAUAUUACCGAAGCUGUGGAUUGUCCUUUGGACAAUGGUAGGAGAGCGUUCUAAGGGCGUUGAAGCAUGAUCGUAAGGACAUGUGGAGCGCUUAGAAGUGAGAAUGCCGGUGUGAGUAGCGAAAGACGGGUGAGAAUCCCGUCCACCGAUUGACUAAGGUUUCCAGAGGAAGGCUCGUCCGCUCUGGGUUAGUCGGGUCCUAAGCUGAGGCCGACAGGCGUAGGCGAUGGAUAACAGGUUGAUAUUCCUGUACCACCUAUAAUCGUUUUAAUCGAUGGGGGGACGCAGUAGGAUAGGCGAAGCGUGCGAUUGGAUUGCACGUCUAAGCAGUAAGGCUGAGUAUUAGGCAAAUCCGGUACUCGUUAAGGCUGAGCUGUGAUGGGGAGAAGACAUUGUGUCUUCGAGUCGUUGAUUUCACACUGCCGAGAAAAGCCUCUAGAUAGAAAAUAGGUGCCCGUACCGCAAACCGACACAGGUAGUCAAGAUGAGAAUUCUAAGGUGAGCGAGCGAACUCUCGUUAAGGAACUCGGCAAAAUGACCCCGUAACUUCGGGAGAAGGGGUGCUCUUUAGGGUUAACGCCCAGAAGAGCCGCAGUGAAUAGGCCCAAGCGACUGUUUAUCAAAAACACAGGUCUCUGCUAAACCGUAAGGUGAUGUAUAGGGGCUGACGCCUGCCCGGUGCUGGAAGGUUAAGAGGAGUGGUUAGCUUCUGCGAAGCUACGAAUCGAAGCCCCAGUAAACGGCGGCCGUAACUAUAACGGUCCUAAGGUAGCGAAAUUCCUUGUCGGGUAAGUUCCGACCCGCACGAAAGGCGUAACGAUUUGGGCACUGUCUCAACGAGAGACUCGGUGAAAUCAUAGUACCUGUGAAGAUGCAGGUUACCCGCGACAGGACGGAAAGACCCCGUGGAGCUUUACUGUAGCCUGAUAUUGAAAUUCGGCACAGCUUGUACAGGAUAGGUAGGAGCCUUUGAAACGUGAGCGCUAGCUUACGUGGAGGCGCUGGUGGGAUACUACCCUAGCUGUGUUGGCUUUCUAACCCGCACCACUUAUCGUGGUGGGAGACAGUGUCAGGCGGGCAGUUUGACUGGGGCGGUCGCCUCCUAAAAGGUAACGGAGGCGCUCAAAGGUUCCCUCAGAAUGGUUGGAAAUCAUUCAUAGAGUGUAAAGGCAUAAGGGAGCUUGACUGCGAGACCUACAAGUCGAGCAGGGUCGAAAGACGGACUUAGUGAUCCGGUGGUUCCGCAUGGAAGGGCCAUCGCUCAACGGAUAAAAGCUACCCCGGGGAUAACAGGCUUAUCUCCCCCAAGAGUUCACAUCGACGGGGAGGUUUGGCACCUCGAUGUCGGCUCAUCGCAUCCUGGGGCUGUAGUCGGUCCCAAGGGUUGGGCUGUUCGCCCAUUAAAGCGGUACGCGAGCUGGGUUCAGAACGUCGUGAGACAGUUCGGUCCCUAUCCGUCGUGGGCGUAGGAAAUUUGAGAGGAGCUGUCCUUAGUACGAGAGGACCGGGAUGGACAUACCUCUGGUGUACCAGUUGUCGUGCCAACGGCAUAGCUGGGUAGCUAUGUGUGGACGGGAUAAGUGCUGAAAGCAUCUAAGCAUGAAGCCCCCCUCAAGAUGAGAUUUCCCAACUUCGGUUAUAAGAUCCCUCAAAGAUGAUGAGGUUAAUAGGUUCGAGGUGGAAGCAUGGUGACAUGUGGAGCUGACGAAUACUAAUCGAUCGAAGACUUAAUCAA